CACGUAGGCACCAAGCGUUGUCCGGAUUUAUUGGGCGUAAAGCGCGCGCAGGCGGUCGCGUAAGUCUGCUGUGAAAUCUCCCUGGCUCAACCGGGAGGGGGCGGCGGAGACUGCGGGACUGGAGGGACCUAGAGGCCGGUGGAAUUCCCGGUGUAGCGGUGAAAUGCGCAGAUAUCAGGAGGAACACCAAUUGCGAAGGCAGCUCGCUGGGACGUUACUGACGCUGAGACGCGAAAGCGUGGGGAGCAAACAGG
RNAcentral lists this ribosomal RNA (254 nucleotides) under uncultured bacterium. Its description in RNAcentral is "partial 16S ribosomal RNA". It matches the Rfam family "Bacterial small subunit ribosomal RNA", at positions 524 to 776 of the family's 1533-position model. The record is from RNAcentral.